This 252-nucleotide ribosomal RNA is filed under the name uncultured bacterium. RNAcentral's name for it is "partial 16S ribosomal RNA". It matches the Rfam family "Bacterial small subunit ribosomal RNA", at positions 524 to 776 of the family's 1533-position model. The record is from RNAcentral.
UACGUAGGGUGCAAGCGUUAAUCGGAAUUACUGGGCGUAAAGCGUGCGCAGGCGGUUUGUAAGUCUGUCGUGAAAGCCCCGGGCUCAACCUGGGAAUUGCGAUGGAGACUGCAAGGCUUGAAUCUGGCAGAGGGGGGUAGAAUUCCACGUGUAGCAGUGAAAUGCGUAGAGAUGUGGAGGAACACCGAUGGCGAAGGCAGCCCCCUGGGUCAAGAUUGACGCUCAUGCACGAAAGCGUGGGGAGCAAACAGG